RNAcentral lists this unclassified non-coding RNA (155 nucleotides) under uncultured Hypocreales. RNAcentral's name for it is "sequence contains ITS1". Lineage: Eukaryota; Fungi; Ascomycota; Sordariomycetes; Hypocreales. The record is from RNAcentral.
ACGAGCGUAAAAACUCCAAACCUUUGUGAAUCUACCAUUCGUUGCUUCGGCGGGCGGCUCCCGGGGGAGCCUUAAGCCACCGCGGUGCCCGCCGACAGCCCCAGACUCUUCUGUAUUUCAGGCUUUACCUUCUGAAUGCACAAACAAACAAGUAA